UCCCAGGUGACUGAGCCUUAAGUGUUAGACUUUUAAUCUAAAAACGGCAUUUUUUUGCCCCUCGGAA
This 67-nucleotide transfer RNA is filed under the name Rhinoclavis sinensis. RNAcentral describes it as "tRNA-Lys". The record is from RNAcentral. Lineage: Eukaryota; Metazoa; Mollusca; Gastropoda; Cerithiidae.